This is a non-coding RNA of Heterocephalus glaber (naked mole-rat), 1102 nucleotides long. The record is from RefSeq and is a predicted model, not a curated record. NCBI's taxonomy places the organism in Eukaryota, Metazoa, Chordata, Mammalia, Rodentia, Bathyergidae.
GGGCGAGGUGGGGGAGGUGCGCAGGAUCGCGAGAAGGAAAGCGAGAACUAGUUGUAAGGACAGCAUGCUGGUGGAUCUUGUUGGGAACUCGUGGAGGAAAACAACCACCACAGGCCCAGCUGACGCGCUGCUUUCGUCUUGGACAAUCUACGAACUGGAGGUCUGCAGCGUGAGCCCCUCAACACCUGCGCACCCGCGUACACCACGGGCAGACUCCAUGCUUUCCCCAUCUCCUUGGCGGAAGGAUAAACAAGAUCACCAGGGCCUGGGAUGUCGCCCUCUUUCCAGAGCACUGUGCGCCGAAGGAAGGCCUUAAGAGGCCAGGUGUGAGACACUAACCCUGGCAGAGCUGACUGUUUACUGUAAGAAUGUAGCAAGACUCAGCAACAAUGCAAUUCCUAUUUUUAAUUUUUAUAGAUUCAACCCUAACAAACCUUUACUUCAGUAGGAAGAUGAAAAUAAAGUUUAGUUAAAAAUUAUCACAUAAUUCUUUGAAUUCCUUCCAUUUAUAUUCCACGAGUUACAUAAUAAUCAGUGUGUGUGUGUGUGUGUGUGUGUGUGUAUGAAUGUGUACAUAUAUAAUUUAUAAAUAUACAUAUAUUCCCCCCCAGUGCUGGAGACUUAACCCAGUGGCUCACCCAUGCUAAUCAGGCAGGCAGUUUCCUACUAAGCUCCCUCCCCAGGCCACCUCUGAAAUACAUUUUUUAGACUGACAAUUUAAUCCAUCUUCAAUUUUAAGGGGAAGAAAACAACAUACAAAAGAAUUUGCUUCUAUUUAUGGCCAUUCACAUUCUCGGUACAGUGUUUUUUGUUUUGGGGGGGGGGAUUUUUAGACAGAGUCAUGUCAUGUAGUUGAGGCUGGCUUUGAACUUGCUAUGUGAUCCAGGCUGACCUUGAACUUACAGUGAUCCUCCUGCCUCAGCCUUCCAAGUGCUGGGAUUACAGGUGUGUGCUACCAUGCCUGGCUUCCCUUUCUCAGUAUGAAUAUCAGUAUUUUGAAAGACUUUCUCCAUUCUUACAUGAAAUACUAUAUCGAGGUAUGAUUAGGAUGACUAAGAAGUAUGCUUUCUUUAAAUUUCUUUUGUGAAAUUGUUGUAAAAAA